AUUGAACGCUGGCGGCAUGCCUUACACAUGCAAGUCGAACGGUAACGCGGGGGCAACCUGGCGACGAGUGGCGAACGGGUGAGUAAUGCAUCGGAACGUGCCCAGUAGUGGGGGAUAGCCCGGCGAAAGCCGGAUUAAUACCGCAUACGACCUACGGGUGAAAGCGGGGGACCGCAAGGCCUCGCGCUAUUGGAGCGGCCGAUGUCAGAUUAGGUAGUUGGUGGGGUAAAGGCCUACCAAGCCUACGAUCUGUAGCUGGUCUGAGAGGACGACCAGCCACACUGGGACUGAGACACGGCCCAGACUCCUACGGGAGGCAGCAGUGGGGAAUUUUGGACAAUGGGGGCAACCCUGAUCCAGCCAUGCCGCGUGCGGGAAGAAGGCCUUCGGGUUGUAAACCGCUUUUGUCAGGGAAGAAAUCUUCUGAGCUAAUACCUCGGGGGGAUGACGGUACCUGGAGAAUAAGCACCGGCUAACUACGUGCCAGCAGCCGCGGUAAUACGUAGGGUGCAAGCGUUAAUCGGAAUUACUGGGCG
Molecule: ribosomal RNA, 536 nt
Filed under: uncultured bacterium
Lineage: Bacteria
Description: bacterial SSU rRNA
Rfam family: Bacterial small subunit ribosomal RNA
Source: RNAcentral